UAUAUGGUGGUGUAUAGUGCACGUAAAGUUUUGAUCUUUAUAGAGGUGGUGGAAUUCCAUUUCAUAUAA
Molecule: transfer RNA, 69 nt
Filed under: Jaxea nocturna
Lineage: Eukaryota; Metazoa; Arthropoda; Malacostraca; Decapoda; Laomediidae
Description: tRNA-Gln
Source: RNAcentral